CCUACGGGGGGCAGCAGUGGGGAAUAUUGGACAAUGGGGGGAACCCUGAUCCAGCCAUGCCGCGUGUGUGAAGAAGGCCCUCGGGUUGUAAAGCACUUUCAGUGAGGAAGAACGCCUGGUGGUUAAUACCCAUCAGGAAAGACAUCACUCACAGAAGAAGCACCGGCUAACUCCGUGCCAGCAGCCGCGGUAAUACGGAGGGUGCGAGCGUUAAUCGGAAUUACUGGGCGUAAAGCGCGCGUAGGUGGCUUGAUAAGCCGGUUGUGAAAGCCCCGGGCUCAACCUGGGAACGGCAUCCGGAACUGUCAAGCUAGAGUGCAGGAGAGGAAGGUAGAAUUCCCGGUGUAGAGGUGAAAUGCGUAGAGAUCGGGAGGAAUACCAGUGGCGAAGGCGGCCUUCUGGACUGACACUGACACUGAGGUGCGAAAGCGUGGGUAGCAAACAGGAUUAGAUACCCUAGUAGUC
RNAcentral lists this ribosomal RNA (465 nucleotides) under Vreelandella stevensii. RNAcentral's name for it is "partial 16S ribosomal RNA". It matches the Rfam family "Bacterial small subunit ribosomal RNA", at positions 338 to 795 of the family's 1533-position model. The record is from RNAcentral. Lineage: Bacteria; Pseudomonadati; Pseudomonadota; Gammaproteobacteria; Oceanospirillales; Halomonadaceae.